This 447-nucleotide ribosomal RNA is filed under the name uncultured bacterium. RNAcentral describes it as "bacterial SSU rRNA". It matches the Rfam family "Bacterial small subunit ribosomal RNA", at positions 355 to 825 of the family's 1533-position model. The record is from RNAcentral.
UGGGGAAUAUUGGACAAUGGGCGCAAGCCUGAUCCAGCCAUGCCGCGUGAGUGACGAAGGCCUUAGGGUUGUAAAGCUCUUUUGGCGGGGAAGAUAAUGACGGUACCCGCAGAAUAAGCUCCGGCUAACUUCGUGCCAGCAGCCGCGGUAAUACGAAGGGAGCUAGCGUUGUUCGGAAUCACUGGGCGUAAAGCGCACGUAGGUGGGCAGUUAAGUCAGGGGUGAAAGCCCGAGGCUCAACCUCGGAAUUGCCUCUGAUACUGGCUGUCUAGAGUUCGAGAGAGGUGAGUGGAAUUCCUAGUGUAGAGGUGAAAUUCGUAGAUAUUAGGAAGAACACCGGUGGCGAAGGCGGCUCACUGGAUCGGUACUGACGCUGAGGUGCGAAAGCGUGGGGAUCAAACAGGAUUAGAUACCCAAGUAGUCCCUGAGCGGGCUGGCAAGGCGCAU